AUGGGUGAAAACCUAGAUUAUAAAAAUCGGCGAGCUGCAAUGGAGGAUCCACCACACCAUCAAGGCAACUUGAACCUUAAGGGGUUCGGCGAGCGUUGGGCGUCUCACAAUAAGGCUCCGGAGCCCAACCUUUUUGUGGCGUACGCUUUGGCCCAUAAGGGAUCGUUCCGAUCUGCCACGCCUUACAAUGAGAAUGAGACAUUGCCUACCUACACUAGCAAGACCGCCUACGAUCGAAUGGACAAAUUUAAAUGGAAGGCAAAAGAGAUGAGAGGGCCUGAGUAUGAUGUGACAUCGGAGCCCCUUGACCACGAGGUGGUUAUGAUCUCUGGAGGUGGUAGGAAACAUGGCAAGGAAGUGAUUGGAGGUGGCAUGUUUCCUAGGUCCUCCCGUCGCACUCUCCCUGAGUACAAAGCUCGGUCAGGUAUCUCAACAUCUUCUAUAUGUCAACGCUCAACUCCAGCAAUGGUUGCAAUGGAGUCUUGA
Molecule: ribosomal RNA, 486 nt
Filed under: Triticum aestivum (bread wheat)
Lineage: Eukaryota; Viridiplantae; Streptophyta; Magnoliopsida; Poales; Poaceae
Description: partial small subunit ribosomal RNA
Source: RNAcentral